CGGGCGCUGAUUGGUUGUUAAAGUAGGCGCCCGAUUGGGUACUCCGAGGCGAGAAGGGGCCAAUGGACGAAGGGCGGGCGCUCUGCGCGCUGAUUGGACGAAACGGGGCAGGGUUUGGAUCCUACCCUUUGUUGCAAAGCUCCACAAUGGGAAGUCAAUAGGAGCGGGGCGAGCGGCUGCGGGGCGCGGCGGGGCGGCGGGUUCCCCUCGGCCGGCUCCCCCGGGCCGGCCCCCGGCGGGACGCCCCUUCCCCGGCCCGUGGCGCGGAGGCGGCUGGCGGGGGGCUGCGAGCGGCGAAGGGCCGGGCCACGGGGCCGCCCGGGAGGUUGAGGGACUGGGGGCGCGGCGGCGACACCCCCCCCCCCCCCCCCCAUUCUGCCUCCUCCGGCAGCCGCGGGGGGGCGGCGACCCCCGGGCCGGGCGCCGGAGCCUCCGGGGUGGCGGUGGGUCGCCCGGGGCUCGCGUCCCCCGUGUGUGCCGUGUGUGUGUCCGUGUGCCCCCCCGCGCCGGGGGAUGAGCGAAGCCCCCCGCAGGGGAAGGGGCUCCGGCAGCGCCGCCCGCGGUUGCUCUACCCGGGUUUUAUCGCCGCAGCAGCCCGGGAGGGCGGGUGAGGGGGCUUGGUUUCGGAGCGGGCAGCCCUCCUGGGCCGUGACACCCCCCAACAAAAGUGGUGAAGGGUCUGACCCCCGGCCCUGGGGAGGCGGGAGCGCACAGGGGUCGAGGCUGUGCCCCCCUGCGCCCCCAUCCCCCCAAACCCCGCCAGCUUGGUGGGUCGCCUUCGACGCCAAAGCGAAUCGCAAAGUUUUGUUGUGAGUCGAAAGCCGUAAUCCAUGUUCCCUGUUGGCAGCAUCUAGGAGGAUAAAUAGCAAUUACAUAAAAAGACUCAUCUUUCUGGGGAAGUUGCUGCCUCACUCUAUAUUACUAUUUCAUCGCAUUGGUAGCGACCGCUGUGAGCGAGGGCAGCUCCUGCCCCCAUGGGGAGGGUACCUCCAUCGGGAAGAACAGGUCCCAAACGCCCCACAGAUCAUAUAGCGAAUGCAACCAGGCGCCUGCUUAACCGCCGGCUCCUAAAGGUACCCGUCAGCUCCGCAAACCGGAGCGCAGCUGUAAUCACGCACACUUUGCUUGAGGUUUUUGCAUCCUCGCCGAAUGCGUAAGCCUCUCGGGCCAACGCCCGGCGCGGCGGGCAGAGUGAGGAUCGCCGGAGCUCGGCACGUAGGGAGCGUGCCUCUCGCUUCGCCGCCUGCUCGGAGAGAAAAAGCUGCCUGUCAAUAGAGCGACUUGGGAGGUGCAGGUAAGCGAUGAUUUGCGUCAUACGUGUUCUGGCAAUUCCGAAGUAAAGAAUUCCCCUUUCAUCUGAGUUGUUCAUGCUUAGGAAGAAGAAAUGGAGAACCCUGCUCUGGUGCUAUCAGCAUAUACUAAAAAUCUGGUUAUUUUUAAGACCGUACCCCGCUAUCACUAAAGCCAAGAGACCAGCGCUUAGCGUUGGUUACCGGGAGUUGGGGCUCCUUGGGUAUUUCCUCUGCCCUGGUUUUGUAGCGGGGGCUGCUUAUGCUUCUCGCUUUAGAGCUACUUGUGAUUUUUUGGUUCUCGUUGAGACCGGAGAAAGGCAGUGCGUCCUCUGGGACGAACCGGGCCGAGGGGAAGGCGCGCACGCCAAGGCUGGAGAGAGCAGGCGAGCACGCGUUAACGAGGACCGGCGCAAGGACGAAACUAAAUGCGCCCCGGGCACGCGUAGCUGGGGGGGCCGACUAAGCGUUCCUCUCUUGGCGGAGCGCGGUGAGUUGUCCCGACCGUGAAACACAAGAGAACUGGAAGAUGAAACGGUGUUGGUACCAGAUUGUCAACUAAACAUCAGCGAACGAGGAUUCGAGCCCGUGGUUUCCGAAGCCCCGUGCACGUCAAUGGUGUUUUUGGUGCGAUUUGUCAACAGUUGAAGGUUUUUUUCCUGCGGGUUCACUGGUGACAGUGAUUUUACGUCGGGUGUAUGGGUGCGCAUCCAUAGAUAUUAAAUACCUCCACGUGCACUGACUUA
Non-coding RNA from Phalacrocorax carbo (great cormorant), 2035 nucleotides. Lineage: Eukaryota; Metazoa; Chordata; Aves; Suliformes; Phalacrocoracidae. The record is from RefSeq and is a predicted model, not a curated record.